Molecule: non-coding RNA, 92 nt
Organism: Hypoxylon sp. FL1857
Lineage: Eukaryota; Fungi; Ascomycota; Sordariomycetes; Xylariales; Hypoxylaceae
Source: the annotation of a GenBank genome assembly
GGUUUGAUGGUCUAGUGGUAGGAUUCUCGCUUUGGGUUGAUUUCUUCAAUCAUAAAUGCGAGAGGUCCCGGGUUCGAUCCCCGGUCAAACCC